UACGGGGGGGGCAAGCGUUGUUCGGAAUUACUGGGCGUAAAGGGCUCGUAGGCGGCCAGCUAAGUCAGACGUGAAAUCCCUCGGCUCAACCGGGAACUGCGUCUGAUACUGGAUGGCUUGAGUGUGGGAGAGGGAUGCGGAAUUCCAGGUGUAGCGGUGAAAUGCGUAGAUAUCUGGAGGAACACCGGUGGCGAAGGCGGCAUCCUGGACCACGACUGACGCUGAGGAGCGAAAGCCAGGGAGCAAAGCGG
RNAcentral lists this ribosomal RNA (251 nucleotides) under uncultured bacterium. Its description in RNAcentral is "partial 16S ribosomal RNA". It matches the Rfam family "Bacterial small subunit ribosomal RNA", at positions 524 to 776 of the family's 1533-position model. The record is from RNAcentral.